This 491-nucleotide ribosomal RNA is filed under the name uncultured bacterium. RNAcentral's name for it is "partial 16S ribosomal RNA". It matches the Rfam family "Bacterial small subunit ribosomal RNA", at positions 30 to 505 of the family's 1533-position model. The record is from RNAcentral.
AUUGAACGCUGGCGGCAUGCUUUACACAUGCAAGUCGAACGGCAACGAGGAGAAGCUUGCUUCUCUGUCGGCGAGUGGCGAACGGGUGAGUAUAGCAUCGGAACGUGCCAAGUAGUGGGGGAUAACCAAACGAAAGUUUGGCUAAUACCGCGUAAGCUCCAAGGAGGAAAGUAGGGGACCUAAAUAAGGCCUUACGCUAUUUGAUCGGCCGAUGUCGGAUUAGCUAGUUGGUGGGGUAAUGGCUCACCAAGGCAAUGAUCCGUAGCGGGUCUGAGAGGACGAUCCGCCACACUGGGACUGAGACACGGCCCAGACUCCUACGGGAGGCAGCAGUGGGGAAUUUUGGACAAUGGGGGAAACCCUGAUCCAGCCAUGCCGCGUGUAUGAAGAAGGCCUUAGGGUUGUAAAGUACUUUUGUUAGGGAAGAAAAGCUAGUUUUUAAUAAAAAUUAGUGAUGACGGUACCUAAAGAAUAAGCACCGGCUAACUACG